UCCCUCUUAGCUCAGUGGUAGAGCGCGUCACUAGUAUUCUGUUAUAGGAUUCAAGUGUCCUGUACAUGACGAGGUCAGUCGUUCAAGUCGGCUAGAGGGAA
Molecule: non-coding RNA, 101 nt
Organism: Tricholoma furcatifolium
Lineage: Eukaryota; Fungi; Basidiomycota; Agaricomycetes; Agaricales; Tricholomataceae
Source: the annotation of a GenBank genome assembly